GGGCGCGAUUCAUAUCUCAACCGAAAUAUUUGUAAAGCGAUACGAACGAGUUACGAGAUGAAAUCCGCAAUGUUCAAAAACGCGAUUCAUAACACACAUACUUUGAUCUCGUUUUCAUAUCGCUAGUUCGUAUUUGGAUUGCUUGAGUGAAAUGAAUGAAACUAUAUUUUUUUAAUUGUCAUGCAAAAAUAAUAAAUACUACCACUAAUUGUUUUAAAUAAUUUUGUUCCUAAAAUAUAUUUUGUUGGAAUUAGUGACGAUAGCAAGUAUCAAGAAACGGCUUUUUAAUUCAACGUUGAAGAAAUUCAUAACCUGUGGCACUUUUGACAGCCGCCAUGUUUUCUACAUAAAGUCAUAAAAACAAACAUAACAAACAUUGAUUUUCUUUGCUCAUUUUCGUGUCAACGUAGUUUUUUUGGAAAAUAAGAAGAAAGGAAGUUUAACUAACUUAGAGAAAUACGACUGAGACAUGUAAGUAUCAAUGUAUUAACCUAUUUUUUUUGAAAUAUAAAUGUUACCGGUUGUAGUUAAGAAGGUAUUGUAAUUUACGAUGUAUCCAAUUUCUGUUUGAAUUGUUUUAGAAUCAUUAACGAGAUGAACACAAGCAGCAGCCGAUGUGCUUGAGUUGCAGAAGGAGCAACUGCGUUGUGAGAGGGCCACGGCUUCAGCCCUCACAAUGAUAGCUGAAGCAAUGAACAGACAGGCUGCAGUCAAUGAGAGGCUUCUUAAGCAGGGGCUCCUCAUAUGGAAAAAGGCUAAUGAAAGGAACAAUCAAGACCAGACUUAAAGUAAAGAUUUUAGCGGCGACGCAGUUGCGCGACCAGUGAAGCUCUGGCUCCGCGACCGGCGUGGAGCGCGCGGUCCGCGCGGCGCUGCUGCGCGGGAGGAUCCCGUCCCUGCGCAUUUGCCUGGCCUUCAAUGGCCUCACGCCUCUCUUCUUCCUCUUCUUCAUGCGUCAAUUCAAACAGAGGAGCACCUGUGAUUACUGAUUACCUAAGUUCCUAUAUACAAUAAUAGUUUAAUAAUUGUUACAAAAUAUUGUAUACAUACAUAAGUAUUAAUAAUUAUACAAAAGGCUAAAAGCAUUUUGUGCCAGCCAACCUAUAGGAGAGAAUAUGAGAAAAAUAAUAAGACUUUAAUCUUUGAUUGCCAUUAUCUGUAGCUUUAUUAAGUGGUAAAGGGACCUAAUUACUACCUAUAUUUUUUAGUAUUUGUGAUAAUUCAUAGAAUUUAUUAGUUCUAUCAAUAAAUAAAAUAUACAUGCAUUACAAUGUGUUUAAUUCAUUAACUUACAAUUUGCACACUGAGGGAA
Plutella xylostella (diamondback moth) is the source of this 1312-nucleotide non-coding RNA. Lineage: Eukaryota; Metazoa; Arthropoda; Insecta; Lepidoptera; Plutellidae. The record is from RefSeq and is a predicted model, not a curated record.